Molecule: ribosomal RNA, 497 nt
Filed under: uncultured bacterium
Lineage: Bacteria
Description: partial 16S ribosomal RNA
Rfam family: Bacterial small subunit ribosomal RNA
Source: RNAcentral
GAUGAACGCUGGCGGCGUGCCUAAUACAUGCAAGUCGAGCGAACAGACGAGGAGCUUGCUCCUCUGACGUUAGCGGCGGACGGGUGAGUAACACGUGGAUAACCUACCUAUAAGACUGGGAUAACUUCGGGAAACCGGAGCUAAUACCGGAUAAUAUAUUGAACCGCAUGGUUCAAUAGUGAAAGACGGUUUUGCUGUCACUUAUAGAUGGAUCCGCGCCGCAUUAGCUAGUAGGUAAGGUAACGGCUUACCAAGGCAACGAUGCGUACCCGACCUGAGAGGCGGAUCGUCCACACUAGAGCUGAGGCACGGUCCAGACGCCUACGGGAGGCAGCAGUAGGGAAUCUUCCGCAGUAGGCGAGAGCGUGACGGAGCAGCGCCGCGUGAGUGAUGAAGGUCUUCGGAUCGUAGAACUCUGUUAUUAGGGAAGAACAAAUGUGUAAGUAACUAUGCACGUCUUGACGGUACCUAAUCAGAAAGCCACGGCUAACUACGUG